RNAcentral lists this ribosomal RNA (253 nucleotides) under uncultured bacterium. RNAcentral's name for it is "partial 16S ribosomal RNA". It matches the Rfam family "Bacterial small subunit ribosomal RNA", at positions 524 to 776 of the family's 1533-position model. The record is from RNAcentral.
UACGUAGGGGGUUAGCGUUGUCCGGAUUUACUGGGUGUAAAGGGCGCGUAGGCGGGUCUGUAAGUCAGAGGUGAAAUCCCACAGCUUAACUGUGGAGCUGCCUUUGAUACUGCGGAUCUUGAGUUCAGAAGAGAGAGAUGGAAUUCCAGGUGUAGUGGUGAAAUACGUAGAUAUCUGGAAGAACACCAGUGGCGAAGGCGAUCUCUUGGUCUGUAACUGACGCUGAGGCGCGAAAGCGUGGGUAGCAAACAGG